UACAUAGGGGGCACGCGGUAUCCGGAUUUACUGGGAGUAAAGGGUGCGUAGGUGGCAUGGUAAGUCAGAUGUGAAAACUUGGGGCUCAACUUCAAGAUUGCAUCUGAAACUGCUAAGCUAGAGUGCAGGAGAGGAAAGCGGAAUUCCGAGUGUAGCGGUGAAAUGCGUAGAGAUUCGGAGGAACACCAGUAGCGAAGGUGGCUUACUGGACUGUAAUUGACAAUGAGGCACGAAAGCGUGGGGAGCGAACAGG
Molecule: ribosomal RNA, 253 nt
Filed under: uncultured bacterium
Lineage: Bacteria
Description: partial 16S ribosomal RNA
Rfam family: Bacterial small subunit ribosomal RNA
Source: RNAcentral